CCCUAUGGGGUGCAGCAGGCGCGAAACCUUUACAAUGCACGCAAGUGUGAUAAGGGAACCCUAAGUGCUCAUGUUUAACAUGGGCUUUUGCCAAGAGUAAAUAUCUUGGCGAAUAAGUGGUGGGAAAGACUGGUGCCAGCAGCCGCGGUAACACCAGCGCCACGAGUAGGGACCACUACUAUUGGGCCUAAAGCGUCCGUAGCCGGUUGAAUAAAUUUCUUGUGAAAUUGUUGGGCUUAACCUAACAACGUGCAGGAAAAACUGUUCAGCUUGGAACCGGGAGAAGUCAGGAGUAUGCUGGGGGGAGCGGUAAAAUGUUAUAAUCCCCGGUAGACUACCAGUGGCGAAGGCGCCUGACUAGAACGGAUUCGACGGUGAGGGACGAAAGCCAGGGGAGCGAAGCGGAUUAGAUACCCGUGUAGUCCUGGCCGUAAACGCUGCGAGCUAGGUGUUGCAUAUUCUACAUGAAUGUGCAGUAUCGAAGCGAAGGUGAUAAGCUCGCCGCCUGGGAAGUAUGGUCGCAAGGCUGAAACUUAAAGGAAUUGGCGGGGGAGCACUACAAGGGGUGCGGCGUGCGGUUUAAUCUAAUUCAACACAGAGAAUCUCACCAGAAGCGACGGCAGGAUGAAAGUCAGCUAACGGUCUUACUUGACGAGCCGAGAAGGUGGUGCAUGGCC
Molecule: ribosomal RNA, 677 nt
Filed under: uncultured marine group I thaumarchaeote
Lineage: Archaea; Thermoproteati; Nitrososphaerota
Description: bacterial SSU rRNA
Rfam family: Archaeal small subunit ribosomal RNA
Source: RNAcentral